Molecule: ribosomal RNA, 478 nt
Filed under: uncultured bacterium
Lineage: Bacteria
Description: partial 16S ribosomal RNA
Rfam family: Bacterial small subunit ribosomal RNA
Source: RNAcentral
GACGAACGCUGGCGGCGUGCUUAACACAUGCAAGUCGAACGGUAAGGCCCUUCGGGGUACACGAGUGGCGAACGGGUGAGUAACACGUGGGUGAUCUGCCCUGCACUUCGGGAUAAGCCUGGGAAACUGGGUCUAAUACCGGAUAGGACCACUGCCUGCAUGGGUGGUGGUGGAAAGCUUUUGCGGUGUGGGAUGGGCCCGCGGCCUAUCAGCUUGUUGGUGGGGUGAUGGCCUACCAAGGCGACGACGGGUAGCCGGCCGGAGAGGGUGACCGGCAAAACGGGGACUGAGAUACGGCCCAGACUCCUACGGGAGGCAGCAGUGGGGAAUGUCGCACAAUGGGCGCAAGCCUGAUGCAGCGACGCCGCGUGAGGGAUGACGGCCUUCGGGUUGUAAACCUCUUUCAGCACCGACGAAGCGCAAGUGACGGUAGGUGCAGAAGAAGGACCGGCCAACUACGUGCCAGCCGCCGCAGUAA